AUGGCUAGUAGCUAUUUCAUGGAAUUUAUAAGCAGAAGUAUGGUCCUGCCAUCUCAACGAUCAAUGUAUAGUAGAAAAGGAAUUGACUCAUGCCAAAUCCAUGACCUGAUCCGUGAAAUAAUCAUCUCAAAGUCAAUGGAGGAAAAUCUUGUUUUAAGGCUAGAGAGAGGAUGUAUCUUGGACUGCCAAGGGACUGGACGUCACCUCGUUAUAAGCAGCGAUUGGGAGGGAGAUCAGAAUGAGUUUGAGAGUUCAGUAGACCUAUCUCGCAUAAGAUCAUUAACAGUGUUUGGGGAGUCGAAGCCAUUUUUCAUUUCUAAAAAGAUGAGGUUGCUGCGAGUGCUAGACUUAGAAGGUGUAUCAGGUGUAUUUGAUCAUCACCUUGUGCACAUGGGCAAGCUUCUUCACCUCAAGUACCUUUCUUUGAGAGGAUGUAUGGAAAUUUAUUAUUUGCCAGAUUGGUUGGGUAAUCUCAGGCAACUUGAGACACUGGAUAUUAAAGGUACACAAAUAUUCAAGCUGCCAAGGACCAUCAUCCGGCUUAGUAAGCUACGACAUAUCUGUGCUGGGGCAAACAUUAGAGGCUGUGGGGAUAUGUCAGAUGUAAGCAGGCUGCGCAGUAUGUGCAGUAUGCCCUUAUUCUCUAUGCUUUGUUGCCUAGCAUGUUGCAGACCUCAGUUUCUCGAUAGGAUAAUGCCUAGAACUGGAGCACACUGGAACAGGCGUGAUAUAUGCACUGCGCUCUGCUGCGGCCUGAUGCCUGCUAUGCUAAUGCGUCUAAGUGUACAUGGUGUUACAAUUCCAAGUGGGAUCCACAAGCUGAAAGCCCUACAGACACUGGAUGCAGUGAACAUCGCAAGGCGGGAGGCCACUCUAGAUGACAUAAAAAGACUCGCUCAAUUGCGCAAGUUAGGAGUGAGUGGCAUCAACAAGACAAACUUGGGCAAACUGCCCGAAUGGAUCAUGGGGCUGAAAAAUCUCUUGAAGCUGAAGCUAUGGGGCUCCAGGAUAUUGGAGCAUGAUUCUGACAUGCAGGUCUUAGGCAAGCUACCCAACCUGACCUUCCUGAGUCUACGUGACAAGUCAUUCGUGGGCGAACAGGUCCACAUCAAGUUCCAUAGGGAGGAAUUCCCAAGUCUAGUGGUGCUGGAAGUCUAUCGGGAAGAGGAGGUCAAAUCGUUUGAGUUUGAGGAAGGAGCAACCCCUAAGCUUGAGCUGUUGCGAUAUUGUGGUGAUCCUUCACAGUGCAUCGCCAGGUAUUUUCUUGGGCUACAAUAUCUCCCAAGCCUCAGGGAAUUCAUGCUCAGCGACUACUAUCGCCACUAUAGGAGUGAACACAAGGAUGACUUCCUGGGCGACUUGCAGGCCCAGAUUUCCCAGAAUACAAAUCGGCCCGUUCUGAACCGUGCUAUUAAUUUCCGUUGA
This 1425-nucleotide ribosomal RNA is filed under the name Triticum aestivum (bread wheat). RNAcentral's name for it is "partial small subunit ribosomal RNA". Lineage: Eukaryota; Viridiplantae; Streptophyta; Magnoliopsida; Poales; Poaceae. The record is from RNAcentral.